Molecule: ribosomal RNA, 600 nt
Filed under: uncultured archaeon
Lineage: Archaea
Description: bacterial SSU rRNA
Rfam family: Archaeal small subunit ribosomal RNA
Source: RNAcentral
UCCCUAUGGGUGCAGCAGUCGCGAAAAUUUUGCAAUACACGAAAGUGUGACAGAGCUAUCCCGAGUGCCAUCCGCUGAGGAAGGCUUUUACCCAGUAUAAAUAGCUGGGAGAAUAAGGAGAGGGCAAGUCUGGUGUCAGCCGCCGCGGUAAUACCAGCUCUCCGAGUAGUGUGGACGUUUAUUGGGCCUAAAGCAUCCGUAGCUUGCUAAGCAAGUCCCCUGUUAAAUCCACCGAUUCAAUCGGUGGAUUGCGGGGGAUACUGUUUGGCUAGGGGACGGGAGAGGUCGACGGUAUUUCCGGGGUAGGGGUGAAAUCCUAUAAUCCCGGGAAGACCACCAGUGGCGAAGGCUGUCGACUAGAACGCGCCCGACGGUGAGGGAUGAAAGCUGGGGGAGCGAACCGGAUUAGAUACCCGGGUAGUCCCAGCUGUAAACGAUGCAGGCUAGGUGUUUGGGCGGCCACGAGCCGCCCUAGUGCCGCAGGGAAGCUGUUAAGCCUGCCGCCUGGGGAGUACGGCCGCAAGGCUGAAACUUAAAGGAAUUGGCGGGGGAGCACCACAAGGUGUGAAGCUUGCGGUUUAAUUGGAUUCAACGCCGGAA